UGGUACAGCCGUUCUGAUCUAUUCUUUUACUUUCUUCUUCUUACUUUUAAUUUACGUUAUUUUUUGUAUUUUUUUUCUCACAGUAACACGACAAAGCUGCACCCUCUCUAAUAUGCUGGUAAAGAGAGUUUUAUUUGGGUUUUCUUUAGCGCUGGAAAUGGUUACAUCCCGAUACGUGGGACAGAAACAAGGUCGCAUUGUGUAUCCCACGGACCAGCAAAUUCCGGCCGGCUUAGUGAACAGAGCGGCAGACACCCCUGCUGAAAUCCGGAGGAAAACACACAGACGGGGAUCACAAAGCCGAGGAAAGAGGACCGGGUCGAGACAACAGAGACUUUUGGAGAAGAGGAGUUCGAUUGUUAAUACCGUUCCGCCUGACCGGAAGUGCACCGAGAGUGAUACCUGAAAGAAAAUGAAUCUCAAUGAAUCUCUGGUCACUGAGAGAACUUGCAAACUCCACACAGACAGCACCCCAGCAACUGGACAACUUUCUUAGAGCAACUUUCGAUUUACAAGUGGUGUGCGGACUGACCGCUAAAUUCUAAAAUAGAGCUAACCAAAGCUUCACACAACUGUAACUUCAUUUCCAUUCUUCGUAUCCCUCUCUUGAGAUUAAGAUUCAAGGAAAUGUUUAAAUGUUUUGUUUUGAAUGGUUCAGUCACCACCCCGGACAGGCUCUAUUCUGAUUGCUACCACCAGAGAGGAGGUACGGGAGCCUGAAGACUCCUGACACAC
Long non-coding RNA from Mobula hypostoma (lesser devil ray), 735 nucleotides. RefSeq lists it as uncharacterized. The record is from RefSeq and is a predicted model, not a curated record. The transcript has 3 exons. NCBI's taxonomy places the organism in Eukaryota, Metazoa, Chordata, Chondrichthyes, Myliobatiformes, Myliobatidae.